CUGAAGGUUGACCUCGGAUCAGGUAGGAGUACCCGCUGAACUUAAGCAUAUCAAUAAGCGGAGGAAAAGAAACCAACAGGGAUUGCCCUAGUAACGGCGAGUGAAGCGGCAACAGCUCAAAUUUGAAAUCUGGCCCUCGUGGUCCGAGUUGUAAUUUGUAGAGGAUGCUUUUGGUGCGGCGCCUUCCGAGUUCCCUGGAACGGGACGCCAUAGAGGGUGAGAGCCCCGUCUGGUCGGACGCCAAGCCUCUGUAAAGCUCCUUCGACGAGUCGAGUAGUUUGGGAAUGCUGCUCUAAAUGGGAGGUAUAUGUCUUCUAAAGCUAAAUACCGGCCAGAGACCGAUAGCGCACAAGUAGAGUGAUCGAAAGAUGAAAAGCACUUUGAAAAGAGGGUUAAACAGUACGUGAAAUUGUUGAAGGGAAGCGCUUGUGACCAGACUUGGGCUUGGUUAAUCAUCCAGCGUUCUCGCUGGUGCACUUGGCCGGCCCAGGCCAGCAUCAGUUCGGCGCGGGGGAUAAAGGCGUCGGGAAUGUGGCUCCCCCGGGAGUGUUAUAGCCCUUCGUGCAAUACCCUGCGCCGGACUGAGGUUCGCGCAUCUGCAAGGAUGCUGGCGUAAUGGUCAUCAGCGACCCGUCUUGAAACACGGACCAAGGAGUCGUCUUCGUAUGCGAGUGUUCGGGUGUCAAACCCCUACGCGUAAUGAAAGUGAACGCAGGUGAGAGCUUCGGCGCAUCAUCGACCGAUCCUGAUGUUCUCGGAUGGAUUUGAGUAAGAGCAUACGGGGCCGGACCCGAAAGAAGGUGAACUAUGCCUGUAUAGGGUGAAGCCAGAGGAAACUCUGGUGGAGGCUCGCAGCGGUUCUGACGUGCAAAUCGAUCGUCAAAUAUGGGCAUGGGGGCGAAAGACUAAUCGAACCUUCUAGUAGCUGUUU
RNAcentral lists this ribosomal RNA (931 nucleotides) under Nalanthamala diospyri. RNAcentral describes it as "eukaryotic LSU rRNA". It matches the Rfam family "Eukaryotic large subunit ribosomal RNA", at positions 1 to 956 of the family's 3401-position model. The record is from RNAcentral. Lineage: Eukaryota; Fungi; Ascomycota; Sordariomycetes; Hypocreales; Nectriaceae.